Molecule: long non-coding RNA, 4358 nt
Organism: Mus caroli (Ryukyu mouse)
Lineage: Eukaryota; Metazoa; Chordata; Mammalia; Rodentia; Muridae
Source: RefSeq, a predicted model, not a curated record
AAAUAAUGCUCUGAAUAUGAGAAGGCACUGAUCGUCACAAACAUUCAGAGACAAAGAGAGAGACAAGACUGGCAGACACUCAAUGGUGAGCAAGAACAGGGAAAAGGAAAGACCCCCAAAGGCCAGAGGAGUAAAAGAAAGUCUGAAGGCACAUGAGCCCGAGCCGGAGCCCGACAAUAUGAAGGAAUGGAAUGCCUGAGAUCAGUGGGAAGCGCUUAGAUGAUAAGAAACACGGAAGUAAAUGGUCUAAUUUAUGGUCUAAAAAAAAUCCCUCUGGAUAUCUUUGGGAAAGUGAAUAUGAGAAGCUGAGCAGGCAAGCUGCAAACAGAUGAACAGACCUCUAGGUAGUCACUUGUGGUGAUGCGAUACCAGAGAAAAGGAACAGGAGGCAGAAGAUGGGAACUAUUUGUGAGGAGCGGGUGUGGCCUCGGCCCCAAUAUGGCGCCCGGGACUGCUGCCAAGUCUUAUGACUGGCACAUGACUUCCUCAUAUCCCUCAAGAUAGCCACGUACCUUGAGCUGCAUUGCACAGAUGCACCAUGACGUAAGAUCGCUUCUUUUCUGCUGGCCAGAGAUGGUAGCGACAACUAUUCAGUGGCAAGUUGUGAUAUGGGGUUUCUCCCAGGCUACGACUUCAGUGAGAUUAAAGGAUAGAAAAGAGCAUUCCCAUUCAAAAGCAUUUAAGGAAAGCAGGAGGCUUUGGAACCCACAGGAGAAGGUGAUUUUCCUCAGCUGCUUCACCUGGGCCAGGCAGGCCGGAGGGCCUUCGAGAGUCAGAAGUGUAUAGAGGAAAAACACAGACUACCCAGACACAGAACUGACUCUCGUUGGGAAACGACAGUAAGCAUUACUCAGCCCCUGGAAAGAGGCCUUUUCUGCAGCCAGGCACGGGAAGCCCAAGAAGACCUCAUUCAACUUGAUAUUGAACUUGCCAGGGGUGUUGAAGCAGAAAAGAUGUUUAAUGUGGCCUUUUGCUUUGAUCGUUCAUACAGGCAGAGACCCAUGAAAUCCUGGAGCUAAGAGACUUUGAAAUAUCCCACUCUCUUCCUAAUGCUCCAAUUCCCUUCCCAGCCUCCUCAUUAGGACACCACAGCCAACAGCCAGCAUGUGCGUCUGUGACCAUGCUCUCUGGCCUUCAAGAAGACUUCCAGUAUCUAAAGAUCACCCCUCUUCCCCUCACCCAGAGUGCCAGUCAUUGUGUCCAGAGCAAAGCUAUGAGAAGCAUACGGGAGACACACGGAUAAGACUUCAAACCCUAGUGAAAACACAGGGUUUUGAAGUGGAAAAGUCCUCUUGACCACACUAAAGUCUUAGUCAGGGUUUCUGUUGCUGUUUUAAAACACCAUUGACCAAAGUCAAUUUGGGGAGAAAGGAUUUACUUUUUCUUAUACUUCAAGGUCAGAGUUUUUCACUCAGGGAAGUCAGGGCAAGAACUUGAGGCAAGAACCUAGAGACAGGAGCUGAAGGCCUUGGAGGAGUGCUGCUUGCUUCCCAUAGUUUGUGCAACCUACAUUCUUAUAGACUUGGGACCACCAGCCUCAGGGUUACCACCACAAUGAGCUGGGCCCUUCCCACAUUCAUCAUCAACCAAGAAAAUGUCCCAUAAGCUUGCCCACAGGAUAAUCUGAUAGAAGCAUUUUCUCGAUUGAGGUUCCCUCCAUCUUCCCAAAUUACUCUGGCUUGUGUCACGUUGAUGUAAAAAUUGCUGGCACACCAGAUGGUCAGGAGAAUCUGUGAGUAUAGGUGCUAUAGACAAGAUUAUGUUUGGGGUGAAACAAAAGGUAAGAUUUAAAAAGUGUCCUUUUGAGAGAGUGGAAAGAGUGAAUGUAGUUUCUAGAGGAAGAAACCAACUUGGGCAAGACUCAGUUGAAGGGAAUUUGGGGCUCUGAUGGUGCCUAUGGGGAGAUAGGCAGGUUAGAUAUAAGAGGGAAGGAAGGGCUCACAGUUGGAAAAUAGGCAAGCAGGAUAUCUUAGGAGGCCUGAAUGGCAGCAAAGAGACUCUGGAGAUAACUAGGAGCCCCAGGAAGCUCUUGAGCACACAGAAGGUGUGACUGUAGUUCACUCUAGGUAUCAUGCAGAAACUCAAGAUAGCAUCAGGGACACAGGAAGAACUGGGGCGUGGGGUGUGGACUUCUCUGUGUCUCAACAGUCAGGGCAGGCUCUGGGCUGGGAGACCUUCCUCUCUAGUUUUCUACCGAGAACCCAGGACUUCAAGCAAAGCUGGGUCUUUGAGGUAUGUCUGAAGAGCUGGUUAUACUUCUCUCAGGAGAUGAUGGGAACAAUUUUGAUUCAUUUCUCUUUUUAAUAUGAGGCUCUUUAUACACAAUUCACACAGUUCAGAGGGGGUACUGGAAACCCAGGCUGCUGUUCUGUAUAUUCACAGGCAUCCCCCCACCCCCCAUAUUUGAAACGGAAAGAUACUAUGAUGCAGCCUCCUCUCAGAGAGCCUGUCUUUGGUAAAGUGUUUGCCACUUGUCUAUCCACAUGUUUAUCCACAUGUCUACAUGUGCCUCACUUCCUCUGAUAGCAAUGUUGCAGCCUACAUUCCCACUCUGCUUGCACUGUGCUCUUCCCUCCCUCCCUACGGUAUUUCCUGCCUCCCUGUGAUGAUACCACUACACCUAGAAGACAUGGGGCUGCUGCAGAGUGGUUCAGCCGUGUUGGAAAGGGAACAGGGAUAACUUGCUCUGGAAGAAAGCAACAAAGUGUUCCAGAUCUGUCUCACAGCCCAGCACUUCCAGCUCAACAGUGGGAUUGUGGUCUUGAGUUUGGUCUCCACGUGUGGACAAAAGGAUGCUCCGAACCUUGGUAGCAAGCAUUGAUUGCCAUCAGAUUUUUUCCUCUGAUGUUGAAGAUUAACACCUCUGCACUAGAAGCUAUGGUUAUGUUCACUAUGGAUUUGUAGGUGACAAUGAAUCUAAUUCUCUUUAAAGGCAUUACGUGAUUGUUUUAUGGUGUAGUGAUGACAUAAUUGUAAAGAGAGAAUCUCUAUUGGUCAUCAUUAACAUGAUGAUUGAGGUCUCAUAGAUAAAGCAGUUUCUGGGGGGGGUAUUCCUUUUCUUAAUUUUUUGUACCCCCCAUCUAUGUUGUCAACUGGCUAGUCUCAGCCUCUCACCCAAGGGAAAGUCUUUGACAGCUCUCCUCUGAACAUUUUCAUUUGGGUUGAUUUCAUGUAACUCAUUAAUUCAUUAUUCACGUACUUAUCCAACUUAGUAAUGGAUAGUUUAAACCCUCAAAAAGUAGAAGGCCAAUUCAGUGCAUUCUCUUUCCUCUUUCCCCUUUUGUUUCCUUCCCAAAGACGUUUGCAUUUCCAUUGUCUAGUUGUCUAGUUGUCUGGGAUGUUUUCCUUCCUUAUCUAUCUUACACAGGGAGAAGCAGAGCUAUUCACACAGACUUCUCUGGGGGCACAAGUUCUUACUGCCUUUUCUCCUUGGAGUGUAAAAGCCCUGCUUCUAAAUGCCAGAAGGUGUCAUCAAGUGCAGGCAAACCCAGAGGGACCCCUGACCUCUAGCCUGACCCCACUUGAAGAUUACUUGAGGGUACUGAGCUCACUGUUGGCUUUGACACUAAAUACUGCUUCAUGCAGUCUCUUAGAGGAAUCUAAGCUCUCAGAUUUUUUUGUGCCAAUUCUACAAGAUCUUGGUGGGGCAUACAGUUGUGUAUCAUGAGGAAGUCAUAGCAUUCUCUUUUUCAGGUUAUAAUUCUUUAGCUUUCUGUGGCAAGACUGAAGUGGAUAUUAUUUGCUCUAGUCCAACCUUUACAGAUUUGGGGUAUUUCGACCAUGGUUGCACUACUGAUGCUGGCCCUACCUUUCCCAACUGAUGCCUUGGUUUCCCACCACACUGGAGCCUUUCUUGCUCAUUGAUGGUGCUGGAGAGCUGUCCUGUCCACUAAUGAUGCUGGGGCAUUCUGUUGCUCAUCAAUAGAAUCAGGAGCUAUACUUUCUCCUAGAGCAUCACAAUUCAUCAUUUCUAGAGGCUCUCCUCUGUGCAUGCUGGCUUCUGGGAAAGGCAUCUAAGGCCCAUUUGGUAAAGCAGUCUCUUCCAAACAGAAAAGGUACCUUCCAUUUGUGAGCAUCAUGACCUUCAGUACUGGGUCAUUGGACAAUCCUCCAAGACCAGCAGCCUGGAACUUCAAAGUUUAACCACUUCUUGCCCAUAGUCCUGUGGGCUUCACGUACAGAGAUAGCAAUAAGUCAGUAUAAACUGAACUCUAACUAUCUUGAUAGUGGCAGAUCUAUGAAAGCCUGCAUGGUGGGGAAAAUAUAUGCAGAUGCCCUGCUGGAGAAGAACUCAGGUUUGAACCUACUGAAAUGCUAAGCAAAGUAUGUAAAAGAUAAAAAUUAAGAAAAAAAAGUUA